CCUACGGGGGGCAGCAGCAAGGAAUCUUCCGCAAUGGGCGCAAGCCUGACGGAGCAACGCCGCGUGCGGGAGGACGCCCUUCGGGGUGUAAACCGCUUUUCUCUGGGACGAACGCGCCCCCCGCGAGGGGCGGCGUCUGACGGUACCGGGGGAAGAAGGCCCGGCUAACUACGUGCCAGCAGCCGCGGUAAGACGUAGGGGCCGAGCGUUGUCCGGAGUUACUGGGCGUAAAGGGCGCGCAGGCGGCGCGGUGCGCCCGGCGUGAAAGCCCCCGG
This 275-nucleotide ribosomal RNA is filed under the name uncultured bacterium. Its description in RNAcentral is "partial 16S ribosomal RNA". It matches the Rfam family "Bacterial small subunit ribosomal RNA", at positions 338 to 607 of the family's 1533-position model. The record is from RNAcentral.